CAGUAGCCGCGGUAAUACGGAGGGAGCUAGCGUUGUUCGGAAUUACUGGGCGUAAAGCGCACGUAGGCGGCUUUGUAAGUUAGAGGUGAAAGCCUGGAGCUCAACUCCAGAAUUGCCUUUAAGACUGCAUCGCUUGAAUCCGGGAGAGGUGAGUGGAAUUCCGAGUGUAGAGGUGAAAUUCGUAGAUAUUCGGAAGAACACCAGUGGCGAAGGCGGCUCACUGGACCGGCAUUGACGCUGAGGUGCGAAAGCGUGGGGAGCAAACAGGAUUAGAUACCCCCGUAGUCCCUGUCUCUUAUAC
Molecule: ribosomal RNA, 301 nt
Filed under: uncultured bacterium
Lineage: Bacteria
Description: partial 16S ribosomal RNA
Rfam family: Bacterial small subunit ribosomal RNA
Source: RNAcentral